Theobroma cacao (cacao) is the source of this 676-nucleotide non-coding RNA. The record is from RefSeq and is a predicted model, not a curated record. NCBI's taxonomy places the organism in Eukaryota, Viridiplantae, Streptophyta, Magnoliopsida, Malvales, Malvaceae.
UGUAUUUUAAGCUCACGGUUGGUUAAAUCUUUGGAGAAAUAAUGUGUGAAUCAUUUUGGCAGCUUGAUGAUUAAUGUUUUGAAGGAAUAGUGGAGUGCAUGUACGGGUCAAGCAACCAUAAAGGAAGUGCAAAAGUAAAGAUAGUGUACUGUGGUGGCGUGUCGGACAAAAUAAAGAGCGAUCGGCAAGUAGAAAUAGCUAAAUACGUCCCCGAAUUAAUAGCGAUGUAAUAUCCCGCUAUCGUAAGCGAAAUUCAUUCUCGCUGCAGCGAGAAACUCUCGGGUGUUGGGGGCUUGACUAGCCCGAAUUUUUGAUGCAGCGGAAAUGCAUUCUCGCUGCAAUGAGAAACUCUCGGGUGGUUGGUUCAAAAUUUUGCCUUGGAUUUCGCUGCAACAAAAUUUCAUUCUUUGCAGCGAGAAACUCUCGGGUGGUUGGUUCAAAAUUUUGCCUUGGAUUUCGCUGCAACAAAAUUUCAUUCUUUGCAGCGAGAAUGCCUUUUCGCUGCAGCGAGAUUCCUUUUGCCAUGCUUGCCUUGCUUGGAUUCUAUUGUAGUUUUCACUCCUUUUAACUUCAUGAUUGACCAUGGAUCCUUUAACACUAAGGGAUUAAAUAAUCAAAGUUUGAAAUCAGGGGUUUUAGUAAGAAAUUAAAUUAAAUUACAUUGUUUUUAACAUAA